RNAcentral lists this ribosomal RNA (323 nucleotides) under uncultured Veillonellaceae bacterium. RNAcentral's name for it is "bacterial SSU rRNA". It matches the Rfam family "Bacterial small subunit ribosomal RNA", at positions 9 to 339 of the family's 1533-position model. Lineage: Bacteria; Bacillati; Bacillota; Negativicutes; Veillonellales; Veillonellaceae. The record is from RNAcentral.
AGUAGUUUGAUCAGUGGCUCGAGGACGAACGCUGGCGGCGUGCUUAACACAUGCAAGUCGAACGGGGUACUUGUACCUAGUGGCGAACGGGUGAGUAACGCGUAGAUAACCUGCCUUUAAGUUGGGGACAACAACUCGAAAGGGUUGCUAAUACCGAAUGUUGUUAAUUUGUCGCAUGACAGAUUAACUAAAGAUUUAUCGCUUAAAGAGGGGUCUGCGUCCGAUUAGGUAGUAGGUGGGGUAACGGCUUACCUAGCCGACGAUCGGUAACCGGUCUGAGAGGAUGAACGGUCACAUUGGGACUGAGACACGGCCCAGACUCC